UGUAUGGAUGCCUGCAGACCGCUAAGUAUUUCAUCUAUAUCUCAUUUUGUGGACUGGCCAACGAUUUUAGUUGAGCCAAAGGCUUUCAGCAGUUAAUAGCACGAAAUUGUGUCUUCCCCCAGCGGACAAAAAAAUUAAAGCAAACCCAAUCAACAUGAGUGAAGCACGUAACCUGUUCACCACCUUCGGCAUCCUGGCCAUCCUUCUUUUCUUCCUUUACCUCAUCUAUGCCGUCUUGUAAAAUGUUGGUGGCAAGAAGGAGGUCCUUAGAGCAGGAUACUAGCAGCCAGCAGCCUGAGCAACAAAAUCAAAAUGAAUGAGGCCAAGAGUUUGUUCACCACCUUCCUCAUCCUGGCCUUCCUGCUGUUCCUGCUCUACGCCUUCUACGAAGCCGCCUUCUAGGCCCAUCCCAUGUCACCAGCCCACCCAUAACCCCCAUCAAGGAUAGCUUACAUGUUGAAUUUCAAUUCCAAGCCGCCGGCCAUGUCAUCAUCUUGUGGCCCGGUGGAGCUUUUAGGACCCUACGCGUUUAAGAUGUUUAGCAUUUAAUGGAUUUCUACUAGUAACCUAAGUCAGAUGACGUCAAAGCCACCAGCUGCCGAAAUCGGAGGCUCGCCGAUCAUGAUGAGCAUUUGCUGAUCGAUGGUCAACCCCUGCUAAGUGUGCCUCGCCACAUUUCUUCCAUCUUUGAGGCGCCGCAAGAUCGAUCCAUUCGAAAAAAUCUGCUGCCGACCUUGGCGUCAUCUGCUCUAAUCAUAAAUUUUAUUUUGUGAUCUUUUUAUUUCUGUUUGGCAAUGGAAUCUACUUAGUUUGCAAUUCAAAGACCAUGAUGUACAGUAUAAGCAAAUUGAGAACAACAGCAGCAAUCAAUGUGAACCAUCAACAAUUGGUUAUUUCAUUGUUAAACAACAAAUUUAUUUCGCAUUCGUACUUUGUAAGACAUACAUAAUGUAUAACUGCAUUUUACUCGACUUUUCUUAAAUUACUUGUGAAUAACAACCGCAAAAAAAAGCAACAACAACUGCAGGAAUAAAAACAAAACACAAAACUAAA
This is a long non-coding RNA of Drosophila gunungcola (fruit fly), 1053 nucleotides long. RefSeq lists it as uncharacterized. The record is from RefSeq and is a predicted model, not a curated record. NCBI's taxonomy places the organism in Eukaryota, Metazoa, Arthropoda, Insecta, Diptera, Drosophilidae. The transcript has 5 exons.